AUUGAACGCUGGCGGCAGGCCUAACACAUGCAAGUCGAGCGGAUGAAGGGAGCUUGCUCCUGGAUUCAGCGGCGGACGGGUGAGUAAUGCCUAGGAAUCUGCCUGGUAGUGGGGGAUAACGUCCGGAAACGGGCGCUAAUACCGCAUCCGUCCUGAGGGAGAAAGUGGGGGAUCUUCGGACCUCACGCUAUUAGAUGAGCCUAGGUCGGAUUAGCUAGUUGGUGGGGUAAAGGCCUACCAAGGCGACGAUCCGUAACUGGUCUGAGAGGAUGAUCAGUCACACUGGAACUGAGACACGGUCCAGACUCCUACGGGAGGCAGUAGUGGGGAAUAUUGGACAAUGGGCGAAAGCCUGAUCCAGCCAUGCCGCGUGUGUGAAGAAGGUCUUCGGAUUGUAAAGCACUUUAAGUUGGGAGGAAGGGCAGUAAGUUAAUACCUUGCUGUUUUGACGUUACCAACAGAAUAAGCACCGGCUAACUUCGUG
This 484-nucleotide ribosomal RNA is filed under the name uncultured bacterium. Its description in RNAcentral is "partial 16S ribosomal RNA". It matches the Rfam family "Bacterial small subunit ribosomal RNA", at positions 30 to 507 of the family's 1533-position model. The record is from RNAcentral.